RNAcentral lists this ribosomal RNA (253 nucleotides) under uncultured bacterium. RNAcentral's name for it is "partial 16S ribosomal RNA". It matches the Rfam family "Bacterial small subunit ribosomal RNA", at positions 524 to 776 of the family's 1533-position model. The record is from RNAcentral.
UACGUAGGGUGCGAGCGUUAAUCGGAAUUACUGGGCGUAAAGCGUGCGCAGGCGGCGCGUUAAGACAGGUGUGAAAUCCCCGAGCUUAACUUGGGAAUUGCGCUUGUGACUGGCGUGCUGGAGUGUGGCAGAGGGAGGUGGAAUUCCACGUGUAGCAGUGAAAUGCGUAGAGAUGCGGAGGAACACCGAUGGCGAAGGCGGCCCCCUGGGCUAACACUGACGCUCAGGCACGAAAGCGUGGGGAGCAAACGGG